CUCGCCCGCCCAUCGCCUCUCAACGUCCGCCAUGGAAAGUCAUGGAUGUUCGCUGCUCUCAAGAUAUCGUGGCUUUCUGGCCCACGUGACGAACAUAGGGAUCCAAUGAACAGAAUAUGGAUAGAUUUGUGUCUGAACUUUAUGAAGAUGAGGUUAAUGGAAGCUAAUGCUGGUACUUUGAUUACAAUGGGAGGCUGAACUUCUGAUUUGAGAAAUAGCUUUGUAGCUGAGUGUUGAAGGGCAGAAAUGAAGUCCUCUAAUCUGGCAGCCUAAUAGGUAUUGAGGCUGGCCUUCAGCGGUCAAAUUACUUGGAUGUGCUUGGAAAAGGAAUUGAGGCUGCCUUUCAACAGAGUGACUUGGAUGUGCUUGCAAAAGAGAUCCUAAGGCUGGAUUUAAACAGUGAGAGUUGGAUGCACCCAUAAAAGAGUUAUGAUAGAAGAUAGCCUUUCUGGAUAAAGGCUCUCCUACAAAAGAGCUUGAAGGACUGCAAGAAUGGAAUACUGGGAGGUGAAGGUGAAUAUUCCUGCCAGCCAACAUCUGUGGAGAAAGUGCAAUAAAAACUUUUUGAAAGAC
Non-coding RNA from Penaeus vannamei (Pacific white shrimp), 573 nucleotides. NCBI's taxonomy places the organism in Eukaryota, Metazoa, Arthropoda, Malacostraca, Decapoda, Penaeidae. The record is from RefSeq and is a predicted model, not a curated record.